This 503-nucleotide ribosomal RNA is filed under the name uncultured bacterium. RNAcentral describes it as "partial 16S ribosomal RNA". It matches the Rfam family "Bacterial small subunit ribosomal RNA", at positions 30 to 523 of the family's 1533-position model. The record is from RNAcentral.
AUUGAACGCUGGCGGCAGGCUUAACACAUGCAAGUCGAGCGGGGUGAUGGUGCUUGCACUAUCACUUAGCGGCGGACGGGUGACUAAUGCUUAGGAAUCUGCCUAUUAGUGGGGGACAACAUCUCGAAAGGGAUGCUAAUACCGCAUACGUCCUACGGGAGAAAGCAGGGGAUCACUUGUGACCUUGCGCUAAUAGAUGAGCCUAAGUCGGAUUAGCUAGUUGGUGGGGUAAAGGCCUACCAAGGCGACGAUCUGUAGCGGGUCUGAGAGGAUGAGCCGCCACACUGGGACUGGGACCCGGCCCAGACUCCUACGGGGGGCAGCAGUGGGGAAUAUUGGACAAUGGGGGGAACCCUGAUCCAGCCAUGCCGCGUGUGUGAAGAAGGCCUUAUGGUUGUAAAGCACUUUAAGCGAGGAGGAGGCUCUUUUGGUUAAUACCCAAGAUGAGUGGACGUUACUCGCAGAAUAAGCACCGGCUAACUCUGUGCCAGCAGCCGCCGUAA